CACCCACGCGUCGCCCCGCGCUCCCGCCCGCGCCCGGGCGCCCUGGCCCGCAGUUCCCGUCUGACGGCAGAGCAGCCGCCUGGAGUCCCGCCAGACGCGCCGCCUGCGCGGUUUCCUGGGAUCCGGGCAGGGCCGCAUCCGAGCUGCGGGCCCCCACGCAUCCUGGCUGUCCGAGGCGAAACCUCGCGCUUCCUCACCCCCUUCCGUGCCCAGAGCGAGACGUGGACAGGCGCCGCGUAGAUCCGGGGGAGGCUCCCAAUUGGAACCAGCCUUCUGGCUGCGCCACUACCCCUUCCCUCCCGGCCCGCCUUCGGAAGAGCAUCCCCGUUCCCUGGCCCCUCUUCCAGCUUCGAGUACUGUGAAGGGCAGGCUCGCAGCCGCGGACAGAGCCGAGGACAGGCCUCCAUUGGCCUCAGGAUGAGCGAAGAAUUUCGUUUCAGCUCGGGAUUGUGCGCGCAUCCUGCGCGGUCCGUGCUCUGACAUUGGGGUGGGGAGCGUCUGCAAAGGUGAGGAUGGAUCGGAAAUGCCCGCGGGCUGCACCUUUGCACGUUUGGAAUCUGCUCUCGCCUUUGCCUGUUCCGCCUUUGGCCUCGGGGUUCCUGGAGGCCAGGCCCAAACGCACACUAGUUUCCCUGGCCUCAGCUUCCCAGCGUUUCUCUCACGGGCUUCUGCUCCACCACCCCCACCUCCCAAUGUCUUUUUGCAUUAGGGAUCCUACAGGACCCUGAAGGAAUGUCAAGGUGAGCCUCACCCCUUGCCCUUGGUAAAGCCAGAAUAAGAUUAGAACCCCGUUUCCAGUCUCCCAGCCCAGCACUGUUUACAUUAAAGCGGUGGGUGUUCCCAGGAACCCCAGCUCAGGAGCUACAGUCUAAAAGACGGUUUCAUUUUCAAAUGGGUUUGUCAAGGUGCUAUCUCUCGCCCACUUGAAGAUUCACGAUGCUCAUUAGCAUAUCAAAGGCUCCGAGAAGUCCCGCUAUAAGAAGCCCAAGUAAUUUAGUUUACAGUGUUAACUGCCUGUGGAUCUGGAGCAAUUAGAUUUUGCCACCUAAGACUUCCAAGCAUCCCUGUGUCUUGGCUGUCAUUCAUUCCCACCGUUUCCAGCCCAUUGGCUCUGGUGUGAUUGAAGAUCUGGGGUGCUCCUUCUCCUUCCCAGGGUAUUUCUCUAGCAGAGGGUGGGCUUGCCUCAAUGAGGGAGAAGAUACCUGUUCCUGCUAGGCACAUGAGAGACCUGGGAAUUGGCGGACCUGAACAUUCCUCUACAUUGUUUGGAAAAUGAAGUCAAGGUUAUCCAGAUGGUGUCCCUGUUAAGAACAUUGCCUAUAAAAGAUGCUGGCAUGGACCGUGAGCAGCUGGCAGGAGUGGGACUCACUCACCAAAGAGAAGAGAAAGCUCCGAAGUUGGGGUGAACUGCUGGCCCAGCCUCCAUAAGGUUCCCAGAUGAUUGUGCAACUAUCACCACCAUCCACCUCCAGAACGUUUUUCACCUUGCAAGACCGAAACUGUCCCAUUCAAAUUGUGGCUGUUUUGUUGUUACUGUUGUUUUCUUUCCUUCGGGAACUCCUAGAACACUGAGUCCUUUGCGGUCUCAUUUAAGCUGGAGUGCUGCUGCCUUCCUCCAGGUUUCCAUGUUUCUGAGGCCAUGGAGAUUCCCGUAGUGGUCAUGCCGACCUCUCCCAGGGCUUGCUUCCCUGGCAAGGGGCACCAUUCUGGGCUGGGCCAGCAGAGCGCUGCAGAGUGGCCAACAGAGGGGAGAGUGGAUGACCUCUGCCCAGCAGCUUCCCUUCAGCAUUGUCCAAAGGAAGAUCCAAGAAGCGUGAAGAUUCAUUUUGCCUUAACACAAGAGAAAUUCCGAUACUCCUUAUGCUGUGACUUGGUUCCAAGAUUCCAGACACCCGGAACUGAGCCGUGCACCUCCAUGCCCUAAACAAUGGGUUUAAGCUCCAGCUUUUGUUCCUUUUCUCUUUUUCCAGAUCACUGUUGAAGUUGCAUCCUCAGCUCAGAACCAGCGCCCUGAGGAUCUCUUCCUAGCCCCCAGAGCUCAUGGUGCUCUGUCUGUGGUUGGGUGACCUUACUCAGGAGCAGACGUCUCCUUUGCCUUCACGGUGUCUUAUCCAACCAGAUGUGCCUGAAACAUUCCAGAGCUAACUGGCUCUUCUAGAUGUGCCUUCCUGCUUGGCUUCCAGCUGCUUCUCCAGAUGCGAGAAGGACGUGUAAAACAGCCCCGACACCCACCCCCUCCUCCUGCUGAGACCCUGUACCAUAGGACUGGCCACCUGACCUGGCCCAGAAUUUUUGAAUACUGGAGGCAGCCUCUUUGGCAUCCCUCAUUCGACUCCAGGACUCAGUCCAGCUUGAGGUAGUCCACAGUGGACUGUGGACUCCUACCAGUCCAAAAGUCUGGGACUACUUGCGGAUCCAGUAGAGGAAUUUUCUAGUAUUCUACGAAGGCCAAAAGAGAGGGUGGGAGAGGGUGGGAGUGGGAGGGGUGUGGGUCAGUAGCGAGGGGGACCGAUGUGCCUCAUUUAAUAGUUUAGUGGUGAUUACUAAUUUGCUUUUCAGAAUAAAGUUUGGUUUGUCUGUU
Molecule: long non-coding RNA, 2581 nt
Organism: Neogale vison (American mink)
Lineage: Eukaryota; Metazoa; Chordata; Mammalia; Carnivora; Mustelidae
Exons: 3
Source: RefSeq, a predicted model, not a curated record